RNAcentral lists this ribosomal RNA (492 nucleotides) under uncultured bacterium. RNAcentral's name for it is "partial 16S ribosomal RNA". It matches the Rfam family "Bacterial small subunit ribosomal RNA", at positions 29 to 507 of the family's 1533-position model. The record is from RNAcentral.
AGUGAACGCUGGCGGUAGGCCUAACACAUGCAAGUCGAACGGCAGCACAGUAAGAGCUUGCUCUUACGGGUGGCGAGUGGCGGACGGGUGAGGAAUACAUCGGAAUCUACUUUUUCGUGGGGGAUAACGUAGGGAAACUUACGCUAAUACCGCAUACGACCUACGGGUGAAAGCAGGGGAUCUUCGGACCUUGCGCGAUUGAAUGAGCCGAUGUCGGAUUAGCUAGUUGGCGGGGUAAAGGCCCACCAAGGCGACGAUCCGUAGCUGGUCUGAGAGGAUGAUCAGCCACACUGGAACUGAGACACGGUCCAGACUCCUACGGGAGGCAGCAGUGGGGAAUAUUGCACAAUGGGCGCAAGCCUGAUCCAGCCAUACCGCGUGAGUGAAGAAGGCCUUCGGAUUGUAAAGCCCUUUUAUUGGGAAAGAAAAGCAGCAGGUUAAUCCCCCGCUGUUCUGACGGUACCCAAAGAAUAAGCACCGGCUAACUUCGUG